This 239-nucleotide ribosomal RNA is filed under the name uncultured bacterium. RNAcentral's name for it is "partial 16S ribosomal RNA". It matches the Rfam family "Bacterial small subunit ribosomal RNA", at positions 118 to 353 of the family's 1533-position model. The record is from RNAcentral.
UGAGCAAUCUGCCCUUCUCUUUGGAAUAAGCGUUGGAAACGACGUCUAAUGCCGAAUACGACCUCCUUUCGCAUGAUCGGAGGUGGAAAGCUCCGGCGGAGAAGGAUGAGCUCGCGGCCUAUCAGCUAGUUGGUGUGGGUACUGGCCCACCAAGGCCGACGACGGGUAGCCGGCCUGAGGAGGGUGACCGGCCACACUGGGACUGAGCACGGCCCAGACCUCCGUACGGGGAGGNAGCG